Molecule: long non-coding RNA, 954 nt
Organism: Fundulus heteroclitus (mummichog)
Lineage: Eukaryota; Metazoa; Chordata; Actinopteri; Cyprinodontiformes; Fundulidae
Exons: 3
Source: RefSeq, a predicted model, not a curated record
UGAAGCUGUAAAGUUGUAUCAGUACUGCCGUUAUGUUGCAAUUAGCUAAAAGCUGUUCAUGAUGCAUGCGUUUAUUGUUGAUUUUCUUUUUUUCAGACUUGGGGGUCAUUGUUCACAUAUUAUAGGCCUCCUCAAGACCUUGCAGUAUUUCAAACUGCAAAGUUUUUCCUCAAUCCCUGACCGAUUGAGCUGCACCAGUAUGCCACAAGCUUGGGGAGCACAAUCAGCUCGGGGUUUGAGGAUUGAACCCGUGCCCAUCAACCACCUCACUCUAGCACGAAACGUGACUCACCGCAAGCGCAGACCGAAGGAAUGCAGUGUGGACUUGAACAAAAUAGUGACAAAGGUUGAACCCGAGGAGAUAGCUGCACUGAAAUUAUUACAUGGUACUCCAUUGACAUAUAUGCUGACGCCUUCAGCACCAACUGUCUCUACACCCCUGGGAGAAGUGCAAAUUGGGUCAGCUGUUUCCUAUCAGACAAGGAACUUGAAGGCAGAUGCGACAGCGGUCAUGCAACAGUGUGGCAACACCUGUGUCACAAAUAACCCACCAGUGGAUCUUCCAGAAAGAUAUAAAGCGUUGAAAGACCUUAAUAUUUGUGAAGAUCCUGUGGAACUGGAAGCUCGAACCAGAGAACAGAGUAAAUGUGCUGAGUGGUUUGAGGCAAGAAAAAAAAGGCUUACAGCCUCAAAUUUCCAUCGAGUUAUGGUCAGGAAAGCAAAGGUCACACACAAGUUUUUAGAGUCAAUUUUUGACGCUAACUCUGUUUCAGCCCCUUCACUGGAUUACGGGCGAAGAAACGAGCCCUUAGCAAAAUCAAAAUAUUUACAGACUCAUCAGGACCGGCACUUGCAUGAGUGUGGCUUUGUGGUCAGUAAUCACUUUCCCUUCAUAGGUGCUUCACCCGACGGCAAAGUAUGUGACGGUGGCCGAUCAGGUCUAAUAGAAAUAAA